GAUCUGGCUCAGGACGAACGCUGGCGGCGCGCCUAACACAUGCAAGUCGAACGAGAGAUGAGGAGCUUGCUCUUCAAAUCGAGUGGCGAACGGGUGAGUAACGCGUGAGGAACCUGCCUCAAAGAGGGGGACAACAGUUGGAAACGACUGCUAAUACCGCAUAAGCCCACGGCUCGGCAUCGAGCAGGGGGAAAAGGAGCAAUCCGCUUUGAGAUGGCCUCGCGUCCGAUUAG
RNAcentral lists this ribosomal RNA (233 nucleotides) under uncultured bacterium. RNAcentral describes it as "partial 16S ribosomal RNA". It matches the Rfam family "Bacterial small subunit ribosomal RNA", at positions 15 to 244 of the family's 1533-position model. The record is from RNAcentral.